AUUGAACGCUGGCGGCAUGCCUUACACAUGCAAGUCGAACGGUAACGGGCCUUCGGGCGCCGACGAGUGGCGAACGGGUGAGUAAUGCAUCGGAACGUACCUUUCAGUGGGGGAUAACGUAGCGAAAGUUACGCUAAUACCGCAUAUUCUGUGAGCAGGAAAGCAGGGGAUCGCAAGACCUUGCGCUGAUUGAGCGGCCGAUGUCAGAUUAGCUAGUUGGUGAGGUAAAGGCUCACCAAGGCGACGAUCUGUAGCGGGUCUGAGAGGAUGAUCCGCCACACUGGAACUGAGACACGGUCCAGACUCCUACGGGAGGCAGCAGUGGGGAAUUUUGGACAAUGGGGGCAACCCUGAUCCAGCCAUGCCGCGUGAGUGAAGAAGGCCUCGG
This 388-nucleotide ribosomal RNA is filed under the name uncultured bacterium. RNAcentral's name for it is "bacterial SSU rRNA". It matches the Rfam family "Bacterial small subunit ribosomal RNA", at positions 30 to 420 of the family's 1533-position model. The record is from RNAcentral.